This 21-nucleotide non-coding RNA is filed under the name Caenorhabditis elegans. Lineage: Eukaryota; Metazoa; Nematoda; Chromadorea; Rhabditida; Rhabditidae. The record is from RNAcentral.
GUAGUUUCAGCAACUUCACUA